GAUGAACGCUGGCGGCGUGCCUAAUACAUGCAAGUCGAGCGAACGGACGAGAAGCUUGCUUCUCUGACGUUAGCGGCGGACGGGUGAGUAACACGUGGAUAACCUACCUAUAAGACUGGGAUAACUUCGGGAAACCGGAGCUAAUACCGGAUAAUAUAUUGAACCGCAUGGUUCAAAAGUGAAAGACGGUUUUGCUGUCACUUAUAGAUGGAUCCGCGCUGCAUUAGCUAGUUGGUAAGGUAACGGCUUACCAAGGCAACGAUGCAUAGCCGACCUGAGAGGGUGAUCGGCCACACUGGAACUGAGACACGGUCCAGACUCCUACGGGAGGCAGCAGUAGGGAAUCUUCCGCAAUGGGCGAAAGCCUGACGGAGCAACGCCGCGUGAGUGAUGAAGGUCUUCGGAUCGUAAAACUCUGUUAUUAGGGAAGAACAAAUGUGUAAGUAACUGUGCACGUCUUGACGGUACCUAAUCAGAAAGCCACGGCUAACUACGUG
RNAcentral lists this ribosomal RNA (497 nucleotides) under uncultured bacterium. RNAcentral describes it as "partial 16S ribosomal RNA". It matches the Rfam family "Bacterial small subunit ribosomal RNA", at positions 28 to 507 of the family's 1533-position model. The record is from RNAcentral.